CGCGAGACGUCCUGCCGGUGGGUUUAGCUCGUUCGCGGGCGGCCCAACUUGAAAUCCCACCGCGGUGCUCUUGACUGAGUGUCGAGGUGGGCCGGCACAUUUACUUUGAACAAAUUAGAGUGCUUAAAGCAGGCUAAAACUUCGCCUGAAUAUUGUGUGCAUGGAAUAAUGGAAUAGGACCUCGGUUCUAUUUUGUUGGUUUUCGGAACACCGAGGUAAUGAUUAAUAGGGACGGAUGGGGGCAUUCGUAUUGCGACGUUAGAGGUGAAAUUCUUGGAUCGUCGCAAGACGGACAGAAGCGAAAGCAUUUGCCAAAAACGCUUUCAUUGAUCAAGAACGAAAGUUAGAGGUUCGAAGGCGAUCAGAUACCGCCCUAGUUCUAACCAUAAACGAUGCCAGCUAGCGAUCCGCCGACGUUCCUCCGAUGACUCGGCGGGCAGCUUCCGGGAAACCAAAGCUUUUGGGUUCCGGGGGAAGUAUGGUUGCAAAGCUGAAACUUAAAGGAAUUGACGGAAGGGCACCACCAGGAGUGGAGCCUGCGGCUUAAUUUGACUCAACACGGGAAACCUCACCAGGCCCGGACACCGGAAGGAUUGACAGAUUGAGAGCUCUUUCUUGAUUCGGUGGGUGGUGGUGCAUGGCCGUUCUUAGUUGGUGGAGCGAUUUGUCUGGUUAAUUCCGAUAACGAACGAGACUCUAGCCUGCUAACUAGGCGUAUCGCGACAUCUCAAAGGCCCGCCGGCCCGGCGCUCUCGCGUCGCGGUCGCGCGCGGUUUUUACUGUCGGCGUACAAUAAAUUCUUCUUAGAGGGACAGGCGGCUUCUAGCCGCACGAGAUUGAGCAAUAACAGGUCUGUGAUGCCCUUAGAUGUUCUGGGCCGCACGCGCGCUACACUGAAGGAAUCAGCGUGUCCUCCCUGGCCGAGAGGCCCGGGUAACCCGCUGAACCUCCUUCGUGCUAGGGAUUGGGGCUUGCAAUUGUUCCCCAUGAACGAGGAAUUCCCAGUAAGCGCGAGUCAUAAGCUCGCGUUGAUUACGUCCCUGCCCUUUGUACACACCGCCCGUCGCUACUACCGAUUGAAUGAUUUAGUGAGGUCUUCGGACCGGUACGCGGUGGCGCUUUCGCGUCGCCGAU
RNAcentral lists this ribosomal RNA (1134 nucleotides) under Hydrophilus smaragdinus. Its description in RNAcentral is "SSU rRNA". It matches the Rfam family "Eukaryotic small subunit ribosomal RNA", at positions 651 to 1744 of the family's 1831-position model. The record is from RNAcentral. Lineage: Eukaryota; Metazoa; Arthropoda; Insecta; Coleoptera; Hydrophilidae.